AGAUUGAACGCUGGCGGCAGGCCUAACACAUGCAAGUCGAGCGGUAGAGAGGUGCUUGCACCUCUUGAGAGCGGCGGACGGGUGAGUAAUGCCUAGGAAUCUGCCCAGUGGUGGGGGAUAACGUUCGGAAACGGACGCUAAUACCGCAUACGUCCCACGGGAGAAAGCGGGGGACCUUCGGGCCUCGCGCCAUUAGAUGAGCCUAGGUCGGAUUAGCUAGUUGGUGAGGUAAUGGCUCACCAAGGCGACGAUCCGUAACUGGUCUGAGAGGAUGAUCAGUCACACUGGAACUGAGACACGGUCCAGACUCCUACGGGA
This 318-nucleotide ribosomal RNA is filed under the name uncultured soil bacterium. RNAcentral's name for it is "bacterial SSU rRNA". It matches the Rfam family "Bacterial small subunit ribosomal RNA", at positions 26 to 346 of the family's 1533-position model. The record is from RNAcentral.